This is a small nuclear RNA of Molossus molossus (Pallas's mastiff bat), 105 nucleotides long. Lineage: Eukaryota; Metazoa; Chordata; Mammalia; Chiroptera; Molossidae. The record is from RefSeq and is a predicted model, not a curated record.
GGGCUCACUUCAGAAGCACAUAUACUAACAUUGGUACAAUACAGAGAAGACUAGCAUGGCCCUGUGCAAGACUGACAACACAUUUGUAAAUUGUUCCAUAUUUAA